CCUACGGGUGGCAGCAGUGAGGAAUAUUGGUCAAUGGCCGUAAGGCUGAACCAGCCAAGUCGCGUGAAGGAAGAAGGAUCUAUGGUCUGUAAACUUCUUUUAUAGGGGAAUAAAGGUAUCCACGUGUGGAUAUUUGCAUGUACCCUAUGAAUAAGCAUCGGCUAACUCCGUGCCAGCAGCCGCGGUACUACGGAGGAUGCGAGCGUUAUCCGGAUUGAUUGGGUUUAAAGGGUGCGUAGGUUGUUUUUUAAGUCAGCGGUGAAAGUUUGUGGCUCUACCAUAAAAUUGCCGUUGAAACUGGAAGACUGGAGUGUGUUUGAGGUGAGCGGAAUGCGUGGUGUAGCGGUGAAAUGCAUAGAUAUCACGCAGAACUCCGAUUGCGAAGGCAGCUUACUAAGCCAUAACUGACACUGAUGCACGAAAGCGUGGGUAUCAAACAGGAUUAGAUACCCCUGUAGUC
This 460-nucleotide ribosomal RNA is filed under the name uncultured bacterium. Its description in RNAcentral is "partial 16S ribosomal RNA". It matches the Rfam family "Bacterial small subunit ribosomal RNA", at positions 338 to 795 of the family's 1533-position model. The record is from RNAcentral.